GACGUAGGGCGCGAGCGUUGUCCGGAUUUAUUGGGCGUAAAGAGCUCGUAGGCGGCUUGUUGCGUCGACUGUGAAAACCCGCGGCUUAACCGCGGGCUUGCAGUUGAUACGGGCAGGCUAGAGUUCGGUAGGGGAGACUGGAAUUCCUGGUGUAGCGGUGAAAUGCGCAGAUAUCGGGAGGAACACCGGUGGCGAAGGCGGUUCUCUGGGCCUGUUCUGACGCUGAGGAGCGAAAGCGUGGGGAGCAAACAGG
This 253-nucleotide ribosomal RNA is filed under the name uncultured bacterium. RNAcentral describes it as "partial 16S ribosomal RNA". It matches the Rfam family "Bacterial small subunit ribosomal RNA", at positions 524 to 776 of the family's 1533-position model. The record is from RNAcentral.